AAAGCAGGUAGCAAUUACAGUGCUUCAUUUUGUGGGAGUACUGCCAUUAUCCUGCUGACAGAAAAACCAUGUUGAUUGAUGUGGAUUUUUGCCUUUUCUUGGGGUAAAAAUCAUGACACCUCGACAUGGACAGUU
Molecule: small nucleolar RNA, 135 nt
Organism: Grammomys surdaster
Lineage: Eukaryota; Metazoa; Chordata; Mammalia; Rodentia; Muridae
Product: small nucleolar RNA SNORA69
Exons: 1
Source: RefSeq, a predicted model, not a curated record